UACGGAGGGUGCAAGCGUUGUCCGGAAUCACUGGGCGUAAAGGGUGCGUAGGCGGGUCUUUAAGUCAGGGGUGAAAUCCUGGAGCUCAACUCCAGAACUGCCUUUGAUACUGAGGAUCUUGAGUUCGGGAGAGGUGAGUGGAACUGCGAGUGUAGAGGUGAAAUUCGUAGAUAUUCGCAAGAACACCAGUGGCGAAGGCGGCUCACUGGCCCGAUACUGACGCUGAGGCACGAAAGCGUGGGGAGCAAACAGG
Molecule: ribosomal RNA, 253 nt
Filed under: uncultured bacterium
Lineage: Bacteria
Description: partial 16S ribosomal RNA
Rfam family: Bacterial small subunit ribosomal RNA
Source: RNAcentral